RNAcentral lists this long non-coding RNA (250 nucleotides) under Coffea arabica (coffee). RNAcentral describes it as "long non-coding RNA (CARA_LNC007469)". The record is from RNAcentral. Lineage: Eukaryota; Viridiplantae; Streptophyta; Magnoliopsida; Gentianales; Rubiaceae.
GGGGCAUAAGUACUGAUGGUUUUGCAAUGUGUAGACUAAAUAGCAGUAAAGAGAUGAAUAAAGCGAGGGAGGGGAAAUGGGAGGUGAGUCCCAAGGUUUUGGGUGAAAGGGAAGCAGAAAGAAAUGGAGUGGAUUUGUUUACAGCUAGAAUGAGGUGGUGGAUUCUCAUCUGAGGGCAAUCACGACAUUAUUGCUUUGCUCAUGUGUUGUUCAGUUGAUGCCAGUAGGGAAUUCUUGGGGGCCUAGGUUG